Labrus bergylta (ballan wrasse) is the source of this 708-nucleotide non-coding RNA. NCBI's taxonomy places the organism in Eukaryota, Metazoa, Chordata, Actinopteri, Labriformes, Labridae. The record is from RefSeq and is a predicted model, not a curated record.
UCAGAUUAAAGAUAAACUAUUUCCAUAAAGUCAAAAACUGCUGUAACAAAGUCUGAUGCAGGCAAUGCAAAUAACGACACAUCAUCCUCUGUUUCACAGAGACCGACACUUUUUUAAAGAGGAUAUGUAGCAUGCACAGAAACUUGCAUGUUGUUUUCCAACUUUUGCACACAAAAAAUUAAUACUUUUAAAAACUUUCAAUCCAAGGACUAUUUGCGCUUUUCUUCUCUGAUGCCAUGAAAAAAAGAUGAGGAAGAAGGCAGGCGAUAAGCUCUAAACAACGAGAUCACUUCCGCUUGUCGCUCAUUUCUUAGAAUGGGGCCCCUCGUACUUCUCUUCUCUUUUUCUCUGCUGCAUUUAUGUGCUACACAAGUGACUCCUGUGUUUGUGCAGACAGGAACAGAUUUACUUCUGGAAGUGAAGAAACCUGUUGUUCUGAAGGGCGGGACAUGAUUUAACAUGGACUGUUGGCAGUGCUAAUGUUGCGAAACUAAUUCAUGGUAUUGAACCAAUCAUUUUUUCAAGUUAUGAAUCUAGAGCAGAAUUUUCUGCACAAACUCACUCUCUACUGUUAAAGAACGUACAAAAGGGGGACAGUGGAGUUUACAGAGCACGUGUUUCUGCUGAUAAUAUCUCAGAUGUAGCUGAAUACAGCGUCACAGUUCUGGAUCCAGUGUCUGGAGUGAAGCUGACAGUGAAACUCUGCAG